Molecule: ribosomal RNA, 540 nt
Filed under: uncultured bacterium
Lineage: Bacteria
Description: bacterial SSU rRNA
Rfam family: Bacterial small subunit ribosomal RNA
Source: RNAcentral
AAUAGAUACCCCGGUAGUCCACGCCGUAAACGUUGGAUACUAGGUGUGGCGGUCUACCAACGACUGCAGUGCCGAAGCUAACGCAUUAAGUAUCCCGCCUGGGGAGUACGGCCGCAAGGCUAAAACUCAAAGGAAUUGACGGGUCCCCGCACAAGCGGCGGAGCAUGCGGCUUAAUUCGAUGCAACCCGAAGAACCUUACCUGGGUUUGACAUCAUGGGAAAAGCCGUAGAAAUACGGUGUCCGAAAGGGCCCAUGACAGGUGGUGCAUGGCUGUCGUCAGCUCGUGUCGUGAGAUGUUGGGUUAAGUCCCGCAACGAGCGCAACCCUUGUCCUAUGUUGCCAGCGGUUCGGCCGGGGACUCAUAGGAGACUGCCGGGGAUAACUCGGAGGAAGGUGAGGACGACGUCAAGUCAUCAUGCCCCUUAUAUCCAGGGCUGCACGCAUGCUACAAUGGCCGGUACAACGGGAAGCGACCCGCGAGGUGAGCGAAUCCCUUAAAGCCGGUCCCAGUUCGGAUUGAAGUCUGCAACUCGACUUCA